This 250-nucleotide ribosomal RNA is filed under the name uncultured bacterium. RNAcentral's name for it is "partial 16S ribosomal RNA". It matches the Rfam family "Bacterial small subunit ribosomal RNA", at positions 524 to 773 of the family's 1533-position model. The record is from RNAcentral.
UACGGAGGUGGCGAGCGUUACUCGGAUUGAUUGGGUGUAAAGGGUAUGUAGGUGGUGAAUUAAGUCGAAUGUGAAAUCCCUUGGCUUAACCAAGGAACUGCAUUCGAAACUGAUUUGCUUGAGCGACGGAGAGGAAAGCGGAAUUCCCGGUGUAACAGUGAAAUGUGUAGAUAUCGGGAGGAACACCAGUGGCGAAGGCGGCUUUCUGGACGUUUGCUGACACUGAAAUACGAGAGCUAGGGGAGCAAAC